GAUGAACGCUGGCGGCGUGCCUAAUACAUGCAAGUCGAGCGAACAGACGAGGAGCUUGCUCCUCUGACGUUAGCGGCGGACGGGUGAGUAACACGUGGAUAACCUACCUAUAAGACUGGGAUAACUUCGGGAAACCGGAGCUAAUACCGGAUAAUAUAUUGAACCGCAUGGUUCAAUAGUGAAAGACGGUUUUGCUGUCACUUAUAGAUGGAUCCGCGCCGCAUUAGCUAGUUGGUAAGGUAACGGCUUACCAAGGCAACGAUGCGUAGCCGACCUGAGAGGGGGAUCGGCCACACUGGAACGGAGACACGGACCAGACUCCUACGGGAGGCAGCAGUAGGGAAUCUGCCGCAAUAGGCGAAAGCCUGACGGAACAACGCCGCGUGAGUGAUAAAGGUCUUCGGAUCGUAAAACUCUGUUAUUAGGGAAGAACAAAUGUGUAAGGAACUAUGCACGGCUUGACGGUACCUAAUCAGAAAGCCACGGCUAACUACGUG
RNAcentral lists this ribosomal RNA (497 nucleotides) under uncultured bacterium. RNAcentral describes it as "partial 16S ribosomal RNA". It matches the Rfam family "Bacterial small subunit ribosomal RNA", at positions 28 to 507 of the family's 1533-position model. The record is from RNAcentral.